This 547-nucleotide ribosomal RNA is filed under the name uncultured fungus. RNAcentral's name for it is "partial 18S small subunit ribosomal RNA". It matches the Rfam family "Eukaryotic small subunit ribosomal RNA", at positions 541 to 1109 of the family's 1831-position model. The record is from RNAcentral. Lineage: Eukaryota; Fungi.
UUKGGAGGGGCAAGUCUGGKGCCAGCARCCGCGGUAAWUUCCAGCUMCAAUAGCGUAUAUUAAAGUUGUUGUGGUUAAAAAGYUCGUAGUUGAACCUUGGGRCUGGCUGGCCGGUCCGSCUCACCGCGUGUAYUGGUCCGGCCGGGCCUUUCCCUCUGUGGAACCCCAUGCCYUUCACUGGGWGUGGCGGGGAAACWGGACUUUUACUUUGAAAAAAUUAGAGUGCUCCAGGKAGGCSUAUGCUCGAAUACAUUAGCAUGGAAUAAUAGAAUAGGASGUGUGGUUCUAUUUUGUUGGUUUCUAGGRCCGCYGUAAUGAUUAAUAGGGACAGUCGGGGGCAUCAGUAUUCAAUUGUCGGAGGUGAAAUUCUUGGAUUUAWUGAAGACUAWMUASUGCGAAAGCAUUUGCCAAGGAUGUUUUCAUUAAUCAGGAACGAAAGUUAGGGGAUCGAAGACGAUCAGAUACCAUCGURGUCUUAACCAUAAACUAUGCCGACUAGGGAUCGGACGGUGKUAUUUUUUGACCCGKUCGGCGCCUUACGGGAAAC